RNAcentral lists this ribosomal RNA (251 nucleotides) under uncultured bacterium. Its description in RNAcentral is "partial 16S ribosomal RNA". It matches the Rfam family "Bacterial small subunit ribosomal RNA", at positions 524 to 776 of the family's 1533-position model. The record is from RNAcentral.
UACGUAGGGCGCAAGCGUUAUCCGGAAUUAUUGGGCGUAAAGAGCUCGUAGGCGGUUUGUCGCGUCUGCCGUGAAAGUCCGGGGCUCAACUCCGGAUCUGCGGUGGUACGGGCAGACUAGAGUGAUGUAGGGGAGACUGGAAUUCCUGGUGUAGCGGUGAAAUGCGCAGAUAUCAGGAGGAACACCGGUGGCGAAGGCGGGUCUCUGGCCGAUACUGACGCUGAGGAGCGAAAGCGUGGGGAGCGAACCGG